This is a long non-coding RNA of Rhineura floridana, 1268 nucleotides long. RefSeq lists it as uncharacterized. The transcript has 3 exons. The record is from RefSeq and is a predicted model, not a curated record. Lineage: Eukaryota; Metazoa; Chordata; Lepidosauria; Squamata; Rhineuridae.
CAAUGCUCAGCAAUCAGAGAGCAGCCGCCCCACUGUGGGGCCUUCCUUCUAGUGACAGACUCCUUCCUAAUCGCAACAUGCAAGUGACCGCCAUACAGCAAACCUUGGACAGGUGAGAACAUGCUUGGUGGAGAAGAAUGCCAUUCACAGGAGGAAACGCGAAGCGAUUAAAUCCGGCAAGCCUCUUUCUUUCCCACCCCCCAACGGAAGGGCUACCGGAUACCCUCGGCGUUAAAGGGCCGCCCUUGAAUUCAAACCAUCUCCGCCCCACAGGAAAGACUUGGCACCUCUCAGAAAGGCUACUUCGAGCUCUUUCAGGGCAAGCGACUGCCGCAACUCUUCACACACCGUUUCUCUCUCCUUUUUCUACGUUUUAAACAUUUUUCAAUUGACCUCGCAAGCCCAGGGCUAUAGGGAGAACAGAACUACAGGCAAAGUGCGUGUUGACUAAAUAAGGUACUCUACAUCCCAUCUCCUCAACGCUGAUUUCCCUCACUUGCUAAAGCCGGGGGUCACUUCUCACUCUCUCCCACCACCCAAAACCGAGGUGGAGAGUUCAGCAAAGGCAGCCGCACGAGAAGCAGCCAAGCGCUUUCUCGCCUGUCAGGUUCCCUAGUCCUCCGUCUCACCUGCGGCGGCGGCACCACCAAACGCGGGGCUUCCUCUCCGCCCGCAAGCGCAGAGACGCCCUGAGGCCUGGCUGCUCCGGCGACUGCGCUCCCCCAAGCUCCCCGCCCCUCAAGAGCAAGCAGAACCGUCGCUGUUGCUUGAAAGAGAGGAAGCGGCCACCAUGUUCCUUUCACCCCCUCAAGCGGCUGGAGGCGGAUCCGAGGCCCGCCCAGGAGGCGGUAGCGAGACUGGGGAAAAGAGAGAAGAGUCGCCGAAAGGCCGCGGGCGCUUCACUAGGAGGCGCCAAAGGGCAGCAGCUCUUCUCAUGAGGUGCCUCGGAAAGCUUUUCGUUGGGCGGACGUUGCCUCGGGGCUCAGCCCAGGCUCCGGAAUCUUUGAAUACGUUCACAGUACCACCACAUGUGAACAUAGGAUCCGCGGACCCCACAUCCUCUCCAGCACAAUGGUAAAAGUCCGGGUGUCCACAAAUUGGUAUCAAUGGGGAUAUCCCUGGCAUCAAUGAUUCCUUUCUGUAUUUCCAGAUCUUUAGUAUGGGACUAAUGCUUAUAUGUUGUUGUUGUAUUCCCUUUUUAAUUUCUUUUUUAAUAAAAGGUAAUACUGCAAGAUCUAUGUCUUGAAAUAAAGACUUUUCUAUACAUA